Molecule: ribosomal RNA, 253 nt
Filed under: uncultured bacterium
Lineage: Bacteria
Description: partial 16S ribosomal RNA
Rfam family: Bacterial small subunit ribosomal RNA
Source: RNAcentral
GACAGAGGGUGCAAACGUUGUUCGGAGUUACUGGGCGUAAAGCGUGCGCAGGCGGUGGCUCAAGCCAGGCGUGAAAUCCCCGGGCUUAACCUGGGAAUGGCGUUUGGGACUGGGUCGCUAGAGUGUGGCAGAGGGAGGUGGAAUUCCACGUGUAGCAGUGAAAUGCGUAGAGAUGUGGAGGAACACCGAUGGCGAAGGCAGCCUCCUGGGCCAGCACUGACGCUCAUGCACGAAAGCGUGGGGAGCAAACAGG